AUUGAACGCUGGCGGCAUGCUUUACACAUGCAAGUCGAACGGAGCGCGGGCUUCGGCCUGGCGGCGAGUGGCGAACGGGUGAGUAAUGCAUCGGAACGUGCCCAGUAGUGGGGGAUAGCCCGGCGAAAGCCGGAUUAAUACCGCAUACGACCUGAGGGUGAAAGCGGGGGACCGAAAGGCCUCGCGCCAUUGGAGCGGCCGAUGUCGGAUUAGCUAGUUGGUGGGGUAAAGGCUUACCAAGGCGACGAUCCGUAGCUGGUCUGAGAGGACGACCAGCCACACUGGGACUGAGACACGGCCCAGACUCCUACGGGAGGCAGCAGUGGGGAAUUUUGGACAAUGGGGGCAACCCUGAUCCAGCCAUGCCGCGUGCGGGAAGAAGGCCUUCGGGUUGUAAACCGCUUUUGUUCGGGAAGAAAUCCUCUGGGCUAAUACCCCGGGGGGAUGACGGUACCGGAAGAAUAAGCACCGGCUAACUACGUG
Molecule: ribosomal RNA, 483 nt
Filed under: uncultured bacterium
Lineage: Bacteria
Description: partial 16S ribosomal RNA
Rfam family: Bacterial small subunit ribosomal RNA
Source: RNAcentral